GUGAUGAGCCGCCAGUGUCCAAGAGGUGCCGAGCUCACCCUUUGCUGA
RNAcentral lists this small nucleolar RNA (48 nucleotides) under Pyrobaculum neutrophilum V24Sta. Its description in RNAcentral is "PNEsR21". Lineage: Archaea; Thermoproteati; Thermoproteota; Thermoprotei; Thermoproteales; Thermoproteaceae. The record is from RNAcentral.